This 1640-nucleotide long non-coding RNA is filed under the name Solanum tuberosum (potato). RNAcentral describes it as "long non-coding RNA (STUB_LNC006127)". Lineage: Eukaryota; Viridiplantae; Streptophyta; Magnoliopsida; Solanales; Solanaceae. The record is from RNAcentral.
ACGACCUCUCUCUUUGUAGUUUCCGAGUUGAAGUUGAACGUCGGAGCUCACUGUCACCGUCGUUGUUCCUAAAAAGGUGAUUCCCUUUCCUUUGUAAUUUUAGCCUCUUUGAAUUCGCUUGGCUUUCUCAUAUGUUCGAAUUCUGCGUGUAUGUCGCUUCAAUGUAUGCAUAACUUCUGUAGUUUUAGUAUAUGAUUAAGUUCUGAACACACUCUCUGAUUUUUAUGCUUUAGUUCUAUUAAGUUUAUGCCUUAUAUAAUUAAUUCCUAGUUCAAAUUUUGCUCACUUUUUUGUUUUAAGUGUUUCAAUUUUAUAUCAAUCUCAGCUUAGAUGUUGAUUCUCUAUUUUUUAUAUUUGAAUCCACUGUGUAAUUUUAAUUUGUUUAAUAUAAGCAUAUACCUUGUAUGUUUAUUUGUUCAAUGAUUGUAGAUUAGAUCCUUAAUCGAUUUUCUUUAGUUUUGACAAUAGUCCCUUCUUAUUUGCUUAGAUAUGUGAUACAAAUGAAGUGAGAAACACCCAACUUGGUAUCCCUCAGCAUCUUCUUCUCUGUUAAAUUGUGGCUUGAAUGGAUUAAGGAUCAAAGUUAUUGUACAGUUUGUUUGUCAUCUCAAAUAGACUAAUGAUUUGCCUCUAGUUGAUAGUUCUGAAUGAGAUAUUAAGAGCAUGAGUAUGUAUGGACUUCUGUAUUUGCAUUAAGGUUAUGUUCGGUUGUUGCUUAAAGCAUUUAAGAGGAUGUGUAGAGUGUAACUCCAUCCUUAUAUGUGUUAGAUCCCGUUUGGAUUGGCUUAAAAAAAGUAGUUUUUAAGUCAAAAAUAAAAAUUCAAACGUAAAUGACUUUUAAGGCAAAAAAUAAAAAGCAGGGGAGGUCUACUUUUGGUUUUUAACUUAUUUUAAGUCAUUUUUAACCUUGCAAAAUACUUCCUAACUUAUUUUAAGUAAGAAUACCUAAUUUUGAGUGGAAAAGCAUUCAAUUUUGAUAUAGUUUUCUUAAUUGUUUCUUGUCAGAAUCUAUAAGCUUUAGUAAAUUCAUGGACUCAUGGUCUUAUACCUUCCACUCGCAAGGCUCACUGCUUAGUUGAGAAAUCGUGAGUGCAAGCAGAGACUGAGAAAUCACGAAGCCGUUAAUAGAAAUCAUGCUCGCAGACUCACUAGUUACUGCUCAGUUGAGAAAUCACGAGGCGUCAGCGUAGCUUAUGAGUUCUGAGAGAAAUCCUGGGUGCAGUUCUUAAUGUAAAAUGAAUAUAUUAGAAAUUAGAACGGAACCCAUAAAUGUAUACCCCAACUCUUAAGUCAAUUACUCAAGGAGUAGAAAUGUAAUUAAGUAAAGUACUUAUUGGGUAAUCGGGUUACCCCAGUAAAAAUCUGGUCAAAUCUGAUCCAAUUCAAUAAUUUGAUAAUUGUAGUAUAGUAAAUCGAGACCUGAAUCAACAAUCCAAUAACUCAAACCAUUGGCCCAAUAACCAAACAGGAAAUUACACAAGUUGUCCACCAAAGUGUGUGGUCUUGAUUUUUUGUCCCCAUAAGAAAAGUUUGUAAAGACUAGCCUUCUUCCUCUUUAUGUAUAGCACAAAUACACUUUUGUCCCUCUACACCUCAAGUGUUUUAAAACAACUCUCCAUGUCUCAACGUUUUUUUUUUUU